RNAcentral lists this unclassified non-coding RNA (209 nucleotides) under Hevea brasiliensis (rubber tree). The record is from RNAcentral. Lineage: Eukaryota; Viridiplantae; Streptophyta; Magnoliopsida; Malpighiales; Euphorbiaceae.
GUGGAAUCAAAUCAUAUUGAGUAAGCAUGGCAACCACCCUUUUGAUUGAGUGGAUAAAGGGGUUAAAGGCACUCAUAGAAAUCCGUAGGAAGAAAUUUUGUUUGAGCUUCCCACUUUUCCCCAUCUUGUUCGUUGUAUUGUGGGGGAUGGUAAGGAUACCUUUCCUUGGUUUUAUCAUCUGUCUUCUUUAAAAAAUUGCCCAAUCUCUG